This 484-nucleotide ribosomal RNA is filed under the name uncultured bacterium. RNAcentral's name for it is "partial 16S ribosomal RNA". It matches the Rfam family "Bacterial small subunit ribosomal RNA", at positions 28 to 523 of the family's 1533-position model. The record is from RNAcentral.
GACGAACGCUGGCGGCGUGCUUAACACAUGCAAGUCGAACGAUGAAGCCGGAGCUUGCUCUGGUGAAUUAGUGGCGAACGGGUGAGUAACACGUGAGUAAUCUGCCCUUGACUCUGGGAUAACUGCGGGAAACUGUAGCUAAUACCGGAUACGACCCUCGGAGGCAUCUCCUGGGGGUGGAAAGAAUUUCGGUCAAGGAUGGACUCGCGGCCUAUCAGCUGGUUGGUGAGGUAAAGGCUCACCAAGGCGACGACGGGUAGCCGGCCUGAGAGGGUGACCGGCCACACUGGGACUGAGACACGGCCCAGACUCCUACGGGAGGCAGCAGUGGGGAAUAUUGCACAAUGGGCGCAAGCCUGAUGCAGCAACGCCGCGUGAGGGAUGACGGCCUUCGGGUUGUAAACCUCUUUUAGCAGGGAAGAAGCGAAAGUGACGGUACCUGCAGAAAAAGCACCGGCUAACUACGUGCCAGCAGCCGCCGUAA